GGAGGCGAGGGAACAAGUACGAAGGUUUUAGAUAAAAAACCAGACAUGUCACGUGACCACCACGUGACCACAUGACGUCGUGCUCCCUGUGGGUUCUGAUGUCCGCCGUGACCUCGCUUCGCCUGAACUUCUGAAGUGAAAACCGUCCGUUCUUCAAGUCAACUCCUUUAAACAAGGUUUGCUGCCGUUUCCUGUAACUUCUAUAUUGCUGAAUUCAGUAGUCACAAUAUGACAACUGAACAUUUUCAUGUAUUUUUAAAUGGGAAUGACAAACCCAAAAUAUAAUUGCAGCACUUUAGAGAAUACCUUGAAUUUACCACAAAUGUAUAAUUAUUAAUUAUUGUAGUUUGUAAUUUCAAUAAUUUAAGUUGUAAUGUAGUGGACAUUUUAA
Cyclopterus lumpus (lumpfish) is the source of this 391-nucleotide long non-coding RNA. RefSeq lists it as uncharacterized. Lineage: Eukaryota; Metazoa; Chordata; Actinopteri; Perciformes; Cyclopteridae. The record is from RefSeq and is a predicted model, not a curated record. The transcript has 3 exons.